RNAcentral lists this ribosomal RNA (460 nucleotides) under uncultured bacterium. Its description in RNAcentral is "partial 16S ribosomal RNA". It matches the Rfam family "Bacterial small subunit ribosomal RNA", at positions 338 to 795 of the family's 1533-position model. The record is from RNAcentral.
CCUACGGGAGGCUGCAGUGAGGAAUAUUGGUCAAUGGGCGCAAGCCUGAACCAGCCAAGUCGCGUGAGGGAUGACGGUCCUAUGGAUUGUAAACCUCUUUUGUCGGGGAGCAAGGCCCGCCACGUGUGGCGGGAAGGAGAGUACCCGAAGAAAAAGCAUCGGCUAACUCCGUGCCAGCAGCCGGGGUAAUACGGAGGAUGCGAGGGUUAUCCGGAUUUAUGGGGGUUAAAGGGUGCGCAGGCGGAAAAUCAAGUCAGCGGUAAAAUUGAGGGGCCCAACCUCUUCGAGCCGUUGAAACUGGUUGUCUUGAGUGAGCGUGAAGUAUGCGGAAUGCGUGGUGUAGCAGUGAAAUGCAUAGAUAUCACGCAGAACUCCGAUUGCGAAGGCAGCAUACCGGCGCUCAACUGACGCUCAUGCACGAAAGUGUGGGUAUCGAACAGGAUUAGAUACCCUUGUAGUC